CAAAUGCGAUACGCAAUGCGAAUUGCAGAAUUCCGCGAGUCAUCAGAUCUUUGAACGCAAAUGGCGCUGGGUUAACCAAUACCCCAGCAUGUUUGUUUCAGUGUGUUAGGAAUCAUAUAUCUUAAUGCGGUUGAAAAUAUUUUAUUAUAUUUUCUCCCGUUAAAUAUGAAAGCGCUGAAUCGUUCAGUGCCAAUCGAAGUAGUCACUUCUUUAGCAAGUGAUCUCGAUUGUUGCAUAACUGAGGAUUCACUUUAAAGCGUUCUUUUUAUUAAAAAACAUAUUAUUUCUCCAUUCAACACCUGAAAUCAAGCAAGAUCACCCGCUGAACUUAA
RNAcentral lists this unclassified non-coding RNA (332 nucleotides) under uncultured fungus. RNAcentral's name for it is "sequence contains ITS1". The stretch from base 1 to 106 matches the Rfam family "5.8S ribosomal RNA", at positions 50 to 154 of the family's 154-position model. Lineage: Eukaryota; Fungi. The record is from RNAcentral.